RNAcentral lists this long non-coding RNA (434 nucleotides) under Panax ginseng (ginseng). Its description in RNAcentral is "long non-coding RNA (PGIN_LNC006210)". Lineage: Eukaryota; Viridiplantae; Streptophyta; Magnoliopsida; Apiales; Araliaceae. The record is from RNAcentral.
AUCAAUAAAUGUGAUGAGGAUUUAUUUGAGUAUAGAUAUUGUCUAGAAGAUAAUAUUUGUAUUCAAACUCACAGUUUUACUGUUGUAAUAAUAAAGUUGUAGUUGUUUCUGUACCAUGUAUUGACAACUCAGAAUGGGUGAUGUAUACCUAUUUUGGGGGCGUCACAGUUGGUAUCAGAGCUUAGGGAUAUGAUCUCUGGCGGAGAUCGGGGAAUAGAACUAGGAGGGGAGAGACGAGUAAAUCCUUCGCUAGUGUGUCCUACCUAAGCUUAUUUGUUAGUUGGUCAGUAUAUAGGGAUAUUAUGUGAUAUAUUGAUUUCCUUAAUUAACCCUUGUUUUAUGACAAUAUUUGAGAAUGUCGACUGAGAAUAUUAACAGUGGAAAUGAGACCGUGGAGACGCCGGUACUCACCAACGAGGAGAACGUGCAACAGG